UGGGGAAUAUUGCACAAUGGGCGCAAGCCUGAUGCAGCCAUGCCGCGUGUAUGAAGAAGGCCUUCGGGUUGUAAAGUACUUUCAGCGGGGAGGAAGGGAGUAAAGUUAAUACCUUUACUCAUUGACGUUACCCGCAGAAGAAGCACCGGCUAACUCCGUGCCAGCAGCCGCGGUAAUACGGAGGGUGCAAGCGUUAAUCGGAAUUACUGGGCGUAAAGCGCACGCAGGCGGUUGAUUGAGUCAGAUGUGAAAUCCCCGGGCUUAACCCGGGAAUUGCAUCUGAUACUGGUCAGCUAGAGUCUAGUAGAGGGGGGUAGAAUUCCAUGUGUAGCGGUGAAAUGCGUAGAGAUGUGGAGGAAUACCGGUGGCGAAGGCGGCCCCCUGGACAAAGACUGACGCUCAGGUGCGAAAGCAUGGGGAGCAAACAGG
This 429-nucleotide ribosomal RNA is filed under the name Chloroflexota bacterium. Its description in RNAcentral is "Chloroflexi bacterium partial 16S ribosomal RNA". It matches the Rfam family "Bacterial small subunit ribosomal RNA", at positions 355 to 776 of the family's 1533-position model. Lineage: Bacteria; Bacillati; Chloroflexota. The record is from RNAcentral.